RNAcentral lists this ribosomal RNA (407 nucleotides) under Troglophilus sp. 2 GA-2017. Its description in RNAcentral is "partial 16S ribosomal RNA". It matches the Rfam family "Bacterial large subunit ribosomal RNA", at positions 1939 to 2551 of the family's 2925-position model. The record is from RNAcentral. Lineage: Eukaryota; Metazoa; Arthropoda; Insecta; Orthoptera; Rhaphidophoridae.
AUUUUGACUGUGCAAAGGUAGCAUAAUCAUUAGUCUUUUAAUUGGGGACUGGUAUGAAUGGUUUAACGAAGUAUUAACUGUCUCAUUUUAAUAAAUUGAAUUUAACUUUUGAGUCAAAAGGCUUAAAUAAAAUUAGAGGACGAGAAGACCCUAUAGAGCUUUAUAAAUUAAAUAUUAAAUUGGAUUUAGGAGCUUUAUUCUAUUUAAGUAUAAAAUUUAUUUUAUUGGGGUGAUAUGAAGAUUUAAUUAACUCUUUAUAAUAAUUGAACACAAAUAAGUGAAUAGUUGAUCCAUUUUUAGUGAUUAUAAGAUUAAGUUACCUUAGGGAUAACAGCGUAAUGUUUUUUGAGAGUUCUUAUCAACAAGAAAGAUUGCGACCUCGAUGUUGGAUUAAGGAAAAAGUUGGG